Chlorocebus sabaeus (green monkey) is the source of this 107-nucleotide small nuclear RNA. NCBI's taxonomy places the organism in Eukaryota, Metazoa, Chordata, Mammalia, Primates, Cercopithecidae. The record is from RefSeq and is a predicted model, not a curated record.
GUGGUCACUUCAGCAGCACGUAUACUAAAAUUGGAACGAUAUAGAGAAGAUAAGUAUGGCCCAUGUGCAAGGAUGACACACAAAUUCAUGAAGCAUCCCAUAUUUUA